Molecule: small nuclear RNA, 100 nt
Filed under: Nannospalax galili (Upper Galilee mountains blind mole rat)
Lineage: Eukaryota; Metazoa; Chordata; Mammalia; Rodentia; Spalacidae
Source: RNAcentral
GUGUUCAAUUUAGCAGCACGUGUAUUAAAACUGGAAAUGACGACCAGCAUAACCUCUGCAUAAAGAUGUUGGAAAUUCAUGAAAAGUGUUUCAUAUUUUU